UACAGAGGUCUCAAGCGUUGUUCGGAUUCAUUGGGCGUAAAGGGUGCGUAGGCGGCGCGGUAAGUCGGGUGUGAAAUCUUGGAGCUUAACUCCGAAACUGCAUUCGAUACUGCCGUGCUUGAGGACUGGAGAGGAGACUGGAAUUUACGGUGUAGCGGUGAAAUGCGUAGAUAUCUGGAGGAAUACCGGUGGCGAAGGCGGCAUCCUGGACCGACAUUGACGCUGAGGAGCGAAAGCGUGGGGAGCAAACAGG
Molecule: ribosomal RNA, 253 nt
Filed under: uncultured bacterium
Lineage: Bacteria
Description: partial 16S ribosomal RNA
Rfam family: Bacterial small subunit ribosomal RNA
Source: RNAcentral